UACGGGGGGAGCAAGCGUUGUUCGGAUUUACUGGGCGUAAAGGGCGCGUAGGCGGUCGUGACAAGUCACUUGUGAAAUCUCCGGGCUUAACUCGGAACGGUCAAGUGAUACUGUCGGACUAGAGUACAGAAGGGGCAACUGGAAUUCUCGGUGUAGCGGUGAAAUGCGCAGAUAUCAGGAGGAACACCGAUGGCGAAGGCAGCUCGCUGGGACGGUACUGACGCUGAGGCGCGAAAGCGUGGGGAGCAAACAGG
Molecule: ribosomal RNA, 254 nt
Filed under: uncultured bacterium
Lineage: Bacteria
Description: partial 16S ribosomal RNA
Rfam family: Bacterial small subunit ribosomal RNA
Source: RNAcentral